UACGUAGGGUCCAAGCGUUAAUCGGAAUUACUGGGCGUAAAGCGUGAGUAGGCGGUUUCGCAAGUCCGAUGUGAAAUCCCCGGGCUUAACCUGGGAACUGCGUUGGAAACUACGAAGCUAGAGUGCGGCAGAGGGGGGUGGAAUUCCAGGUGUAGCAGUGAAAUGCGUAGAGAUCUGGAGGAACACCGAUGGCGAAGGCAGCCCCCUGGGUUAGCACUGACGCUCAUACACGAAAGCGUGGGGAGCAAACAGG
RNAcentral lists this ribosomal RNA (253 nucleotides) under uncultured bacterium. Its description in RNAcentral is "partial 16S ribosomal RNA". It matches the Rfam family "Bacterial small subunit ribosomal RNA", at positions 524 to 776 of the family's 1533-position model. The record is from RNAcentral.